RNAcentral lists this transfer RNA (67 nucleotides) under Cophecheilus bamen. RNAcentral's name for it is "tRNA-Cys". It matches the Rfam family "tRNA". Rfam says of the family: Transfer RNA (tRNA) molecules are approximately 80 nucleotides in length. Their secondary structure includes four short double-helical elements and three loops (D, anti-codon, and T loops). Lineage: Eukaryota; Metazoa; Chordata; Actinopteri; Cypriniformes; Cyprinidae. The record is from RNAcentral.
AGCCUCGUGGUGAAGAACACACCGGAUUGCAAAUCCGGAGACGUAGACUAAUAUUCUGCCGGGGCUU